RNAcentral lists this ribosomal RNA (834 nucleotides) under uncultured bacterium. RNAcentral describes it as "bacterial SSU rRNA". It matches the Rfam family "Bacterial small subunit ribosomal RNA", at positions 56 to 889 of the family's 1533-position model. The record is from RNAcentral.
UGCAAGUCGAACGAGAAUCUACUGAAGGAGGAUUCGUCCAACGGAUGUAGAGGAAAGUGGCGGACGGGUGAGUAACGCGUGAGGAACCUGCCUUGAAGAGGGGGACAACAGUUGGAAACGACUGCUAAUACCGCAUGACGCAUAGGGGUCGCAUGAUCUUUAUGCCAAAGAUUUAUCGCUUCAAGAUGGCCUCGCGUCUGAUUAGCUAGUUGGCGGGGUAACGGCCCACCAAGGCGACGAUCAGUAGCCGGACUGAGAGGUUGAACGGCCACAUUGGGACUGAGAUACGGCCCAGACUCCUACGGGAGGCAGCAGUGGGGAAUAUUGGGCAAUGGGCGCAAGCCUGACCCAGCAACGCCGCGUGAAGGAAGAAGGCUUUCGGGUUGUAAACUUCUUUUAAGAGGGAAGAGCAGAAGACGGUACCUCUAGAAUAAGCCACGGCUAACUACGUGCCAGCAGCCGCGGUAAUACGUAGGUGGCAAGCGUUGUCCGGAUUUACUGGGUGUAAAGGGCGUGCAGCCGGGUCUGCAAGUCAGAUGUGAAAUCCAUGGGCUCAACCCAUGAACUGCAUUUGAAACUGUAGAUCUUGAGUGUCGGAGGGGCAAUCGGAAUUCCUAGUGUAGCGGUGAAAUGCGUAGAUAUUAGGAGGAACACCAGUGGCGAAGGCGGAUUGCUGGACGAUAACUGACGGUGAGGCGCGAAAGUGUGGGGAGCAAACAGGAUUAGAUACCCUGGUAGUCCACACUGUAAACGAUGAAUACUAGGUGUGCGGGGACUGACCCCCUGCGUGCCGCAGUAAACACAAUAAGUAUUCCACCUGGGGAGUACGAUCGC